This is a long non-coding RNA of Amblyraja radiata (thorny skate), 289 nucleotides long. RefSeq lists it as uncharacterized. Lineage: Eukaryota; Metazoa; Chordata; Chondrichthyes; Rajiformes; Rajidae. The transcript has 3 exons. The record is from RefSeq and is a predicted model, not a curated record.
CAAAUUGCUGAACGACGCCAGACUGAGCUGCAAGGUGCGUGUUUGAAUGAUGAAGAAGACCUCAGUACCGCUUUUCAUAGCUUCACUGAAGGAAUGAGGAAGAAACUGAAGCUUUGCCACAGGAGGGCGGAACAGUCGUCCUGGCGAACCCUGCGAUCCAGCGAGGAGCAGUUUUCUACACUGAUGACUCGGAUACGCACCUGCAGGAUGCAGAAAUUGCGAGCAUUUGAGGUGAUGAUGACCAAGGAACUGAAGAACCUUGAGGAGGACCUGCACACACUGAACAACA